GAUUAGUCCCGUCGCUUGCGCCACCAGCCAUAUCAUGAUAUCAAUGUUUGGCCUCCGAGCUCUUCUAUCUCCCCAUUACACCUCUAUCGAAAUUAUUGAAGCUCCAAGGAAAUCGCACGGGAGCUCGCUGGCGAAUGCAUCCGACGGGUCUAGGUGAAGAUAUCGAUGGGUCCAGGCGGCGGCAGCGGCGGGAACAGCGACGUGCCGGGUGAGAUCCGGCGAGUAUACUGUGAUAUUCGUUAACUUCGUUAAUAAAAUGCUGGAUUGGAAUGAUUGUGGAUUAUGAAUCAGAAGAGGUUUUGUUGGAGGCUGUUGGUUGUGCUGGUUUAGAUUGGGUAAGAUAAAGUAACAGUUUUCGCUCUUUGCUGAGCCCUCCACAACUUGCAUGAUUUUGUUUAAAAAUCUGCUAUUAUUUACUGUAAAAAUUUCAUGUUCUUGUUAGUUUAGCAAACUGAAUCAAUGAGUUAUGUAGAGAAUAACAGUCCACAAAAAAACAGAUUCAUGAUAGCAAAUAUAUGACCACUUUAUUGAUCAUUCCCAUGCUGGAUGUAAACAAUUUCUUCAGAGCCAACGUAUAUGACAAUUAGCAUAAUAUAAGCCUUUUUACGUUACCCAGCA
Long non-coding RNA from Dendrobium catenatum, 618 nucleotides. RefSeq lists it as uncharacterized. The transcript is spliced from 2 exons. The record is from RefSeq and is a predicted model, not a curated record. Lineage: Eukaryota; Viridiplantae; Streptophyta; Magnoliopsida; Asparagales; Orchidaceae.